GACGAACGCUGGCGGCGUGCUUAACACAUGCAAGUCGAACGAUGACCCAGGGCUUGCCCUGGUGAUCAGUGGCGAACGGGUGAGUAACACGUGGGCAACCUGCCCUGACUUCGGGAUAACUCCUCGAAAGAGGAGCUAAUACCGGAUACGACCACUUCGGACAUCCGAUGGUGGUGGAAAGUUUUUCGGUCAGGGAUGGGCCCGCGGCCUAUCAGCUAGUUGGUGGGGUAAUGGCCUACCAAGGCGACGACGGGUAGCCGGCCUGAGAGGGCGACCGGCCACACUGGGACUGAGACACGGCCCAGACUCCUACGGGAGGCAGCAGUGGGGAAUAUUGCGCAAUGGGCGAAAGCCUGACGCAGCGACGCCGCGUGAGGGAUGAAGGCCUUCGGGUUGUAAACCUCUUUCAGCAGGACGAAGCGAAAGUGACGGUACCUGCAGAAGAAGCACCGGCUAACUACGUAGCCAGCAGCCGCGGUAAU
This 482-nucleotide ribosomal RNA is filed under the name uncultured bacterium. Its description in RNAcentral is "bacterial SSU rRNA". It matches the Rfam family "Bacterial small subunit ribosomal RNA", at positions 28 to 524 of the family's 1533-position model. The record is from RNAcentral.